GAUGAACGCUGGCGGCGUGCCUAAUACAUGCAAGUCGAGCGAGAAUCUGAUGAUUGGAGAUUCGUCAAAAUGAUUCAGAGGAAAGCGGCGGACGGGUGAGUAACGCGUAGGCAACCUGCCCUUAGCAGAGGGAUAGCCAUUGGAAACGAUGAUUAAAACCUCAUAAUGCUGUGAAGUCACAUGUCAUUGCAGCCAAAGAUUUAUCGGCUAAGGAUGGGCCUGCGUCUGAUUAACUAGUUGGUGAGGUAACGGCUCACCAAGGUGACGAUCAGUAGCCGACCUGAGAGGGUGAUCGGCCACAUUGGAACUGAGACACGGUCCAAACUUC
Molecule: ribosomal RNA, 328 nt
Filed under: uncultured Clostridiaceae bacterium
Lineage: Bacteria; Bacillati; Bacillota; Clostridia; Eubacteriales; Clostridiaceae
Description: bacterial SSU rRNA
Rfam family: Bacterial small subunit ribosomal RNA
Source: RNAcentral